Molecule: long non-coding RNA, 317 nt
Filed under: Brassica napus (rape)
Lineage: Eukaryota; Viridiplantae; Streptophyta; Magnoliopsida; Brassicales; Brassicaceae
Description: long non-coding RNA (BNAP_LNC018268)
Source: RNAcentral
CUGGAUAGAUCUUCAUGGUUUGGCUUCACGGUGAGACAGACUUGUGACUUGAAUGCGGAAGCUCAGCUCAGGUUCUGAUGAACCUGGCUCUGAUACCAUGUGAGAUUUUCAGAGCCCUGGCUAUGUAUGUGUAUGAAAACGCCAUUAAAGGCAAAGAUAAGGUCUUGAACUAGUUGAAUAAGAGGUAUGAUGAAACUAGUAUGAACUUGAAUCAGAAACAAAGAGACUUUGAGAGAUUAAGAGAUUAGAGACUAAGAAAGGGGUAGAUUAAGGGAAUCGGAUCAAGAACACACUUUUAUAAUUAUGAAGGAGAUGGG